GGCCCUUUAGCUCAGCGGUUAGAGCGUGCGACUCAUAACCGCCCGAUCGCUGGCUCAAACCCAGCAAGGGCCACCA
RNAcentral lists this transfer RNA (76 nucleotides) under Klebsiella pneumoniae. Its description in RNAcentral is "tRNA-Met(cat)". It matches the Rfam family "tRNA". Rfam says of the family: Transfer RNA (tRNA) molecules are approximately 80 nucleotides in length. Their secondary structure includes four short double-helical elements and three loops (D, anti-codon, and T loops). RNAcentral also lists the same sequence under 5 other names. The record is from RNAcentral. Lineage: Bacteria; Pseudomonadati; Pseudomonadota; Gammaproteobacteria; Enterobacterales; Enterobacteriaceae.